CAGUAGCGUAUAUUAAAGUUGUUGCAGUUAAAAUGCUCGUAGUUGAAGUUCGGAUGCAGCAGAGCUUGGAAACGCUGUUAUGGUGCUUCCGUUGCUUUUGCUUGUCCACAGUGCGUUACAAGUACGUAUGUGCUUGUGCGUGCAUUUUACUUUGAGAAACAUAGGGUGUUCCACGCAUGUUACGGCAUGAAUAUUCCAGCAUGGGAUAAUCUGGUACGACUUCCAAUCUGCCAUUUUGGUUCGUAGGUUGGAAGUAAUGAUUAAUAGGGACUGUCGGGGGCAUUGGUAUUUGACUGUCAGAGGUGAAAUUCUUAGAUUCGUUGAGGACCAACCACUGCGAAAGCAUUUGUCAAGGAUGUCUCCAUUAA
Molecule: ribosomal RNA, 368 nt
Filed under: uncultured eukaryote
Lineage: Eukaryota
Description: partial 18S ribosomal RNA
Rfam family: Eukaryotic small subunit ribosomal RNA
Source: RNAcentral